Molecule: ribosomal RNA, 425 nt
Filed under: uncultured bacterium
Lineage: Bacteria
Description: partial 16S ribosomal RNA
Rfam family: Bacterial small subunit ribosomal RNA
Source: RNAcentral
GUGGGGAAUCUUGCGCAAUGGGCGAAAGCCUGACGCAGCCAUGCCGCGUGAAUGAUGAAGGUCUUAGGAUUGUAAAAUUCUUUCACCGGGGACGAUAAUGACGGUACCCGGAGAAGAAGCUCCGGCUAACUUCGUGCCAGCUGCCGCGGUAAUACGAAGGGGGCUAGCGUUGCUCGGAAUUACUGGGCGUAAAGGGCGCGUAGGCGGACAGCUUAGUCAGAGGUGAAAGCCCAGGGCUCAACCUUGGAAUUGCCUUUGAUACUGGCUGUCUUGAGUUUGGGAGAGGUGAGUGGAACUCCGAGUGUAGAGGUGAAAUUCGUAGAUAUUCGGAAGAACACCAGUGGCGAAGGCGACUCACUGGCCCAAUACUGACGCUGAGGCGCGAAAGCGUGGGGAGCAAACAGGAUUAGAAACCCUGGUAGUCC